UAGCCACAUAUAGCUAGGCGCUGCCAUAUUGUGCAGUGCAGUUGUAGAAACUGACACUCCAUUAAAGCCACCAGAGAUGACAUUGCCUUCUCUGGCAAGCACAUAUUUAUGGCAUAUAAUGGAGCAUAUUAUCAAUAAACUUUCAUAUCUUUCUUUUCUGUUUAGAAGGCUACUGUAUCGUAUCUUUGUCAUUCUGUAUAUCUGCAAUUAAAUAUUUAAACAUAAAAUUUUACAUCUAUUUCAGGUGAAGUUUUCAGAGGAUCCCCAUCAUUAAAGAUAUUUCUUAUCCUGACUUUUAAAAAUUCAUAACAUUACUUGCUCUACCAAUCCUAUGUUGGUCUCUAUCAUGAAAAGAAUCUAUUCUAUAGCAGAGAUUUUUUUUUUAACCUGAAGAUAAGAAAUGGCCUCUGAGAGGAUGUGAAACUCCUGUAGCUUUUGGUGUGCUUCUACCAUGCUGUUUUUGUUCCCUCCAAGGCAAAGUUAAGUUCAUUAAGUCUGCAAAAAUUAAAAUCAGUAAUCAAUAAUUUGCACCUUGCCCAUUUUACAGAUCAAAAAAUGAAAGCCCCAAGGAUGGAAGACACAGAAGAUGGCGCAGUGGGAGCAACUCAGGAUUGCAGCUCUCAGUGAAGGCGCAGAGGGAGGGAAAAGAAAGAAGAAUAAAAAAACAGAGAUGGAGGAAAGAAGAAGAAAAGAAGGAAGGAUCCAAAGAUGCAAGUACAGGACAUUUUAGAAGAGCGGAAUGCUGCAUUUCGGCUUUCCUGUCUGAUAUAAGCCGUAUGGUGACUGCAUUCCAAAGAGCCCUACCAAGAUUAUUGUCGUGGAGUUAUUUUGCCACUGUGCAUUCCACACUUCAUCUUUGCAGGAAAAUAGAUGGAUUUACUCUGCAUGAAGCAGGGGACAGUCUGUGGAAAGAGGUGAGAAGGACAAUACAAUAGCAAAAGUGAGAAGUGACAAAGAGUGAAAGGUAGUAAUGUCCCCCUCUGCAUACUCCUCUCCAUUCUCUCAGCAUCGGAAUCUAAGUCUGAAGUUUUAGACAAGGCUCAGGCACGGCUUAAACUGUGGAUGCAGCCCCCCUCUCCAGUCCCAAAGGCUCCCAGUCAGCCCUAGGCAUUGUAUAGGGAGCUUCCAAAUGCCUACUCAAGGUUUAAUUAAUUUUCUGCAAAAAAAUGAUUGGUUGACAUGACAGCAAUAAACAUCAAGUUCCAUUAAUUAAUACUGAGACAUCAGUGUCUGCGCUGCUUCUCAAUUACACAUUCAGAGACAGCCACCCUUAUGCUGGCAUAAAUUUGGUCCUGAAGCCCAGUAAGGGCUGUUAAAAUGGAAAGAGGACCAAGGGGAGGGAGGGGAAGGGGGUGGCAUCUGUUCUUAUGCAGAGAUAAUCAGCUUGGAGGAAUUCACACUCCAAAGCCCACUCCCCAGAGAAGAGUUUAAGAGACCUAGAUGAAAGGAUUUCAAUUUGGUUGGGUGAGGCAUUUUCAUUUUGCUGAUGGCCUGGAAGGGAACUAUCAGCUUGAUGAAAACAGAGCUUCCCUCGGGUUCUAAGACAUACUCUUCAAACUGGCUCCCCUCCCAUUGUUCUUUCUUUCUCUCUUUCUUUUUUUCUGAGCUACAGUCAUCUCCAAAUUCAUGUUAAUUCAGAAGAGAGUCAAAGGGGAACAAAAAGCAAUCUUUGCUUCUUCCAGUCAAGGAAAAAUCCCUAAAGGGACCAUGGCUCCCAUCAGGCACAUGCUUUAGGUCCGGGAGACAAAGUAAAAUGUUCUCAUGCACACAUGAAGGGUUAGGUCAUGGAGAUAAAGCAAUGUGAUUAAAUCUUGAUAGAUUUUUGUUUUAAGAGUGAAAAGGAGAAAAAAAUGGCUUUGUUUGCCUGGUUACAAAGACUGCUGUUAGUAAUCUCUGCUUCAUCAGCAUCUUGAUGAGCAUAUUUUCCCUCCCAAGACUAAGGCACCAAGGAAGAAUCUAUUUGAGACCAUCUCUGGCCCAUUCCCACAUGGUGGCUCCAUCCCUGCCCCUUCAUAGGCUCUGCCGUGGGAAGCAGCGGUUUCAUUAUUUUAGCAAUUUUACGAUAACUGUUUGUGACUUCAAUUUAGAAAUUAUAAAAAUAAAACCCUAGCCCCACCCAGACUCAGAGGGCAAUAGGCAAAGUUGAUCAUUGUUACAUUUCUUCCAUACUGUCAUGGGGUAGUAUUAUUUCCUUAUUAAUAAGUUAAUGAUCUUUUCCACUUUAAGGACGGAGAGAUAAGGACCCAAAAACUGAAGCAAUUUGCCCAAGGUCACUCUCCAGAUGGGUUACAGGUCCCUAACAGAUAGUGAGUAUUCAGAACAAGGGUGCAACGGAAGAAGGUGGGAUGAAACAAGAACAUGCUUGCUGCACACUCCAGCUCAGCCUGGAGGCUCCAGGUGCGGAGGUCGGUGGAGUUAAGAUAGGAAGGACUCCUUAUUACCCUUUAUUUCUGUCACCAAGUUCCUAAAGGUUGGAAAGAAGGUGACUGGUCUAGACUAAAAAGUAUGGAGGUGCCCAGAGAGAAAUUAAAUGGUAGAGGUCAGGAUGUAAUGAUCUUGGAUUCAGAUGUACUUUGGUUAUAAAAAAAAAAAAUGAAGAGAAAAGAAAAGGCCCAAUCUGACACAAAGGAUUGGAUGCUGAGAAAGGAGUCAAAAUAUUUCAUUCUAUUCCCAGGUCCCAUCCCUAACUUGCAGAACAAUCUUGAUCAUCGUGCUUAAUGCCUCUAAUCCACAAUCUCAUUUGUUUUGGGAUACUCUGUUAAACCUGCUCUGUGGUCGGGGUUGGGAUGGGAUAAGAACCAAACAGCAUUUGUUCAGCAGAAACCUCCAUUCAUUGACAAAGACCUACACAUGGGGUGGAAGUUAGGUAUCUACCACUUACAAGAACAAUGGCUAAGGCUAAUGAGCUUUUAAUACAUCCCAGGCACUAGGCUACAUAUUUGGCAAACGAGCCCAUUCAAUCUUUACAAAUAUCCUGUGAAAUAAGUACUAGCAUCGCUCUAGGUUGCAAGAUGAGGAAACUGAGGCUCAGAGAUGUUAAGAUUCUUGCCUGAGGGUUUUACAAGUAGGUCGCUGAGCUAAAAAAAAAAAUUUUGUCUAAUUCUGGAGCUCAAGCACUCAUACUGUAGGCCAUUCUACAUGGCAAAAUCACUCCAGUGUAAUUCAGAAAAACCAUCGCUUGCCACCAUUGAACACAAGAGGAAAAACAUCAAAUGGAAGCACACACAUGCAAAAAGGAAACAAUUUCUGGUUCUAAACAACCUCCUAUUUUCCCCAGUCAGUACAGUUUUAAUCCUGUGUCUCAGAUGAGAGUCUACAGGGAAAGAAGGCAAGUAGAGAGGUUUGGGGCAGACACAGCCCUGAAACAUCCUGACCGCCCUACAAAUCUGCACGUGGCUCCCUCUGCUUGACUUCAUUCCAAACAAAUCCAUUAAAAGCACCAUCUUAAUGAAUAUUUUAUACAGUUAUGACAUAGUGAGUCCCAUUUAGGAGGGGCUCAUACUAAAGGCUGAGACAAUGAACUACUCAAAUAGCCAACAAAUCAGCAAGACCAACAGAAAUCUGGUCAAGGGGCACAAAAGUUUUACACAGAGGAAGAAAAUGAGAGUCAUAUACUCUCUUCUUGCUGGUUAAAGAUUAAAACAAACAAACAAACAAACUCUAUCUACCAUGUUCAAAUACAGCUGGCUAUUAGGAGAACUCACCUGUUUAAUUCAUUUGCUUUCCUCGGCCCCUUUCUGAAGAAAGUCAGUGUACAUAUUUGCUUGUUUUUGUUAAAUUAGGAUCUAUCUUUGAGUUCUUAGUAAACAUGCACAUACACUCAAACACACACACACACACACACACACACACACACACACACACGCCUUUACCUAUUUCCCCUAGAAACAGAGUCAAGGAGAGAAUCCUCAGGGACAAAUUCAGUGAUGUCCCAGGUACUGUUUCCCCAAGUCUUGCCCCUGAUGCAGGAGAAUCUGGUGUGAUUCAAAGACUUUAGAGGAGAAAAAAGGCUGAUCCUACAUCCCAGAGAGUAAAUCAGUGGCCUGGGUGCCAAUGCACCUGUGGAUGGAUUCUGUCUGCUCUGCCAGCCGUGACUUCCCUACUGUUUUCGUUGUUGUUGCUAUUGUUGUUGUUUACUUGAGGCACAGUUACACUCUUGUUGCCCAGGCUGGAGCGCAAUGGCGCAAUCUCAGCCCACUGCAACCUCCGCCUCCUGGGUUCAAGUGAUUCUCCUGCCUCAGCCUCCCGAGUAGAGGGGAUUACAGGUGCCCACCACCAUGCCCAGCUAAUUUUUUGUAUUUUUAGGAGACUGAGUUUCUCCACAUUGGCCAGGCUGGUCUCUAACUCCUGGCUUUAGGUGAUCCACCCCGCCUUGGCUCCCAAAGUCCUGGGAUUACAGGUGUGAGCCAUCAUGCCCGGCCUUGCCUACAGUUUUUAAGAAAUUUGAAUUCAUUGUUAACAUUUAAAAAUGAAGAGAUUUUACAGGCUUUUCUGGGUUUCUGAGUUCUCUUGAAAGAUGAAAAGACCUGACUCACAUCACAGAGUCUAAUUUCCUACACAGCCACAGUCAGCUGGAGCCGAGUUGUAGCUGAGAGAAGGGCUGGGACCCCCAGUUCCCAGCCCCCACGGUGUUUCCCCAAACAGAAAGACAGGAUCCAUUGGCAUUUGUCACUACCCAUGUGGCUGUUUUCCUUAGAGUUAAAAGGAGAGCAAGGUAUUUUUAUUUCCACAUCUCUAUCUAAAGUGGGAAAAUGAAUGACAGAUUAGGAUAACCAUGUAUUUAAAGAAAAAGGAGAGGAAACCAUAAGCCUAAUUCUGUGGGGGAGUAAAGAUUAUGUAUUUGUAUUAGAUUUCAAGUAAGGUUCUCACCUGGUCCCUGUGGGCAUUUGAGAUUGACACGCUGGUCUAAAGUUGUUGAGGAUACCUGGAAAUUGGUCUUUAGGCUCCAUUUUAAUUCCCAUAAUUCCGGGUGGCUUCCUUAGUACUUGGCCCAGUGCCAGGCAUAUAGGAGAUGUGCUGAAAAAUAAAAUACAUAAUGAACGAAAAUUACAUGGCACUCUUUCCCUCUCUUCAUUUGAAUAGAUUUCUGGGAAUCACCCUACUCCACAGUACCAUCCUCCUUUCUUGCCGAUUUAAGAAUCUUUUUAGAGCCUUUUCUGCUAUCUAUAAAGCUCUAUUUUAGGACCAAUCAGACUGGAAAGAGCCUGCUAAUGGGAUCACACAGAGAUUUUAGUGACUGCUUUGAUAAAGUAUUCACUUGGAGACCAGCCAAACUUAGAUUUAAAUUCCAGCUUUGCCACUCACUAUCUUAGCCAGUGUUUCCCAAGAGCAGAGCCUGAGAUAAAGAUGUGUGUGGAGGUGGCUCAUUAAGGAAAGUGAUCUGGAAUAAGGGCCAGAGAAGCGAAGAGGAAAAAAGGAAAAAGAACAAUGCAAGGAAGCCUGAACUGCUGCAAGCAAUUGGUUAUCUCACACAGGAACUUACAAGGAGCCUUCUGAAAUGUGUGUGGGAUCCAUCCGCUAGCAACAAUGGCC
Molecule: long non-coding RNA, 5532 nt
Organism: Callithrix jacchus (white-tufted-ear marmoset)
Lineage: Eukaryota; Metazoa; Chordata; Mammalia; Primates; Cebidae
Source: Ensembl